RNAcentral lists this ribosomal RNA (497 nucleotides) under uncultured bacterium. RNAcentral's name for it is "partial 16S ribosomal RNA". It matches the Rfam family "Bacterial small subunit ribosomal RNA", at positions 28 to 507 of the family's 1533-position model. The record is from RNAcentral.
GAUGAACGCUGGCGGCGUGCCUAAUACAUGCAAGUCGAGCGAACAGACGAGGAGCUUGCUCCGCUGACGUUAGCGGAGGACGGGUGAGUAACACGUGUAUAACCUACCUAUAAGACUGGGAUAACUUCGGGAAACCGGAGCUAAUACCGGAGAAUAUAUUGAACCGCAUGGUUCAAUAGUGAAAGACGGUUUUGCUGUCACGUAUAGAUGGAUCCGCGCCGCAUUAGCUAGUUGGUAAGGUAACGGCUUACCAAGGCAACGAUGCGUAGCCGACCUGAGAGGGGGAUCGGCCACACGGGAACUGAGACACGGUCCAGACUCCUACGGGAGGCAGCAGUAGGGAAUCUUCCGCAAUGGGCGAAAGCCUGACGGAGCAACGCCGCGUGAGUGAUGAAGGUCUUCGGUUCGUAAAAAUCUGUUAUUAGGGAAGAACAAAUGUGUAAGUAACUAUGCACGUAUUGACGGUACCUAAUCAGAAAGCCACGGCUAACUACGUG